UAUCACGUGGGUGACCUGCCCUGCAGUGGGGGACAACGGUCCGAAAGGAGCGCUAAUCCCGCAUACCUUCCCUGGAAACGGUGGAAGAAAGCUCUCACGAGCGCCGGAGGUGGGGCCCGCGUCCCAUUAUGCUGGUUGGUGGGGUAAUAGCUCACCAAGGCGCUGAUGGGUCGCUGGUCUGAGAGGACGAUCAGCCAGACUGGGACUGAGACACGGCCCAG
This 221-nucleotide ribosomal RNA is filed under the name uncultured bacterium. RNAcentral describes it as "partial 16S ribosomal RNA". It matches the Rfam family "Bacterial small subunit ribosomal RNA", at positions 111 to 334 of the family's 1533-position model. The record is from RNAcentral.